GGUUCAGAAAGCCCACCUUCCUGCCAGGCCCGAGCUCAGAGGGUAGGCCUUAGUGUUUGCAGCGAGAUGCUGCUUGACAUUAUAUUCUGCUCUGCUUUAAAGAGCAGUUCCGUGGGCGGGGGUAGUGAAAGAACAUUCCCACCCUAAUUUAUAAUCCCAGGGCAGAAGUCAGCAAUUACUUAGAGAUAAAAGAUGAACUACUUAGGGGCAGGAUUUGGCAAGUGAUUGACUUUCAUCUAGUACUGAGAUCUUCAGGUUAUUUUUAACUUUAUAAAUUUAGCAGUGACAGCGUACACGGCAGAGAAGCAGGUUAAUGAGGUACAGGCUUUUUGGGUAUUCCCGAAAGCUUUUGGGUAAAGGCCACAUCACCAGUUCCCUCAAAUUAAGAAACCGUCAGGAGAUUUCUUUUUCCAUUGCAGGUUUUAAAGUGGCGAUUCUUAAGUGGAAAAUAAGCACUGCGCAGAACAAAGCUACUUUGAAGCAGUAUAAAAUGAAACAUUUUAUGAGAAUUUGCAGGCUGUGGCUGAGAAUGGCAGUUUACAAAAAAGGUAGUGAGUGGGGUGAGCCUGACAGAAAGCAAAAGGCAGCAUACCCCACCUUCCCUCCACUGGUAUAAACUGCUUCUUGAAGGUAAAUUGUAACCUUUAUUAAUCCUUCCCGUUUAUUUAACGCUCUGGGCGAUCAGCAUGCUCGGGGAAGUAUCCCAACACAUUGUGUUCAUAGAUUAGGCUCAGGGGGGUCUCGGCCCCAGCUCGUUUUGGUAGCAGCCCCUCCGUGAUGGGUACAGUAAACCACUGUCCCUCUUUGCACUUUCUUACUGCCUCACAUAGCGGUGAUCUCCCACCGUGUUUUGCUUCUGUAGUGAGCUGGCGAGGUUAGGCAGCCUCGACCUCUCCAGUGUGGUGGGAGAGGCUUGUUCUCCGUGCCCCGCUGUGCAAGCUUGACGCCUUGUCCUUCUC
Ceratotherium simum simum (southern white rhinoceros) is the source of this 959-nucleotide non-coding RNA. NCBI's taxonomy places the organism in Eukaryota, Metazoa, Chordata, Mammalia, Perissodactyla, Rhinocerotidae. The record is from RefSeq and is a predicted model, not a curated record.